This 268-nucleotide ribosomal RNA is filed under the name uncultured bacterium. RNAcentral's name for it is "partial 16S ribosomal RNA". It matches the Rfam family "Bacterial small subunit ribosomal RNA", at positions 90 to 354 of the family's 1533-position model. The record is from RNAcentral.
CCGGACCGGCGCACGGGUGAGUAACGCGUAUGCGACCUGCCCGUUGCAGGGGGAUAAUCGGGAGAAAUCCCGUCUAAUACCGCGUAAUGCCGCGGGGCUGCAUGGCCCUGCGGCCAAAGGAAGCGAUUCCGGCAACGGAUGGGCAUGCGUGACAUUAGCUAGUUGGCGGGGCAACGGCCCACCAAGGCGACGAUGUCUAGGGGUUCUGAGAGGAAGGUCCCCCACACUGGUACUGAAACACGGACCAGACUCCUACGGAAGGCAGCAG